Molecule: ribosomal RNA, 254 nt
Filed under: uncultured bacterium
Lineage: Bacteria
Description: partial 16S ribosomal RNA
Rfam family: Bacterial small subunit ribosomal RNA
Source: RNAcentral
UACGUAGGGCGCAAGCGUUUAUCCGGAAUUAUUGGGCGUAAAGAGCUCGUAGGCGGUUUGUCGCGUCUGCCGUGAAAGUCGGGGGCUCAACCCUCGAAUGCCGGUGGAUACUGUCGGGCUAGAGUGCGGAAGAGGCGAGUGGAAUUCCCGGUGUAGCGGUGAAAUGCGUAGAGAUCGGGAGGAACACCCGUGGCGAAGGCGGCCAUCUGGACCAGCACUGACGCUGAGGCACGAAAGCGUGGGGAGCAAACAGG